Molecule: ribosomal RNA, 447 nt
Filed under: uncultured bacterium
Lineage: Bacteria
Description: bacterial SSU rRNA
Rfam family: Bacterial small subunit ribosomal RNA
Source: RNAcentral
UGGGGAAUUUUGGACAAUGGGGGAAACCCUGACCCAGCAACGCCGCGUGAAGGAUGAAGUAUUUCGGUAUGUAAACUUCGAAAGAAUAGGAAGAAUAAAUGACGGUACUAUUUAUAAGGUCCGGCUAACUACGUGCCAGCAGCCGCGGUAAUACGUAGGGACCAAGCGUUGUUCGGAUUUACUGGGCGUAAAGGGCGCGUAGGCGGCAUGACAAGUCACUUGUGAAAUCUCUGGGCUUAACCCAGAACGGCCAAGUGAUACUGUCGCGCUAGAGUGCAGAAGGGGCAAUCGGAAUUCUUGGUGUAGCGGUGAAAUGCGUAGAUAUCAAGAGGAACACCUGAGGUGAAGACGGGUUGCUGGGCUGACACUGACGCUGAGGCGCGAAAGCCAGGGGAGCAAACGGGAUUAGAUACCCGAGUAGUCCCUGAGCGGGCUGGCAAGGCGCAU